This 1044-nucleotide long non-coding RNA is filed under the name Astyanax mexicanus (Mexican tetra). RNAcentral describes it as "lncRNA (ENSAMXG00005001320.1)". Lineage: Eukaryota; Metazoa; Chordata; Actinopteri; Characiformes; Acestrorhamphidae. The record is from RNAcentral.
ACUGCAGUCAUGUGUUAUUAACGAGAUUGUUUAUCUAUGUGUAGAUGUAUAAAACUUUAUUAACUUCAUUAUAAUCACUUCAGAUCUUUUAAUCCACUUAAUCCUCUCUCUUUCUUAUUUUCCUUAGAUACUCCCAGGAACAUCUCAGGAGAACCCAACACAACAGUGUCCCACAAUCCUCAGCAGGAAGCAGGUCUGUCGGUGAUGAUGAUGGUGGUGUAUAUCAGCUGUGGUUCUGCAGGAGCUCUACUGCUGCUGCUGGGGAUCAUCAUCUUCCUGCUGUGUAGAAGAAGGAGGAGGAGAGUGUUGCGUAAUCCGGUGUAUGUACCUGGGCAAUCAGGCACUGCCCCUCCAAAUCUGCCUCAAACCAAUGACCCCUUCCUCAGCCACGCCCCCCAGCAAGGAGACACCAAAAGGGUGUGGGAUGAAGAUGAAGAUGAUGAAGAUGAAGAGAUGUACCUGAAUGUUCCAAAAAAACAAUAAAGAACUCUCUUAAACAGUCGAAAACAAGAGACUUAACCUUUUUAUUUGUUUGGAUCCAGAUCCCAACAAUUCACAACGAUUCAAAGUUAUUUACAAUAAUUCAUAGUGAUUCAAAACGAUUCAAAGUGAUUCACUGCAAUUCACAACAAUUUACAACAAUUUCCAACGAUUCAAAAGGAUCCACAACAAUUCACAGCGAUUCACAACGAUUCACAGUGAUUCACAGCAAUUUACAGUGAUUCACAACAAUUCACAGUGAUUCACAAUGAUUCACUACAAUUUACAGUGAUUCACAACAAUUUACAGUGAUUCACAAUGAUUCACUACAAUUCACAGUGAUUCACAACAAUUUACAACAAUUUACAGAGAUUCAUAGUGAUUCACAAUGAUUCACAGUGAUUCACAAUGAUUCAGAGUGAUUAACAAUGAUUCACAACAAUUCACAAUGAUUCAUGAUGAUUCAUGAUGAUUCAGUUAGGAAACAGUUCAACUAUAAUUCAAUUCAUUAAACAAUUUAAUGAACUUAAUAAACUAAAUUAACCUGAUUAGCUUUGAUUUAAU